RNAcentral lists this ribosomal RNA (288 nucleotides) under uncultured bacterium. Its description in RNAcentral is "partial 16S ribosomal RNA". It matches the Rfam family "Bacterial small subunit ribosomal RNA", at positions 333 to 635 of the family's 1533-position model. The record is from RNAcentral.
UGGAUCCUACGGGACGCAGCAGUGGGGAAUAUUGCACAAUGGGGGGAACCCUGAUGCAGCAAUGCCGCGUGAAGGAUGAAGGUUUUCGGAUUGUAAACUUCUUUUGUACGGGACGAAGAAAGUGACGGUACCGUAAGAAUAAGCCACGGCUAACUACGUGUCAGCAGCCGCGGUAAUACGUAGGUGGCAAUCGUUAUCCGGAUUUACUGGGAGUAAAGGGCGAGUAGGCGGGAUUGCAAGUCAGAUGUGAAAACUAUGGGCUCAACCGAUAGAGUGCAUUUGAAACUG